ACUUCAUAUUCGGGGUGGCCACAACACUGGUCUGGUUGCCGCUGAGAUCCCAGCACAGGAAAAGGGGCCUCCUCUACUCCCAGUGUCAUUGCCCAUGAGCCAUUUCUAUGGAGAGAAAAGUUUGAGAAUCCUCUUUGGAAAACCUGAAGUGUGGCACCAAGCAAAGGCCCAAGGACCUGGUGUCAUUAUCAGCGGGACCAGGCAGAGAGGAAGGCUCCCCAGCGGACCUGGCUGACCGUCCCCUGGAGGCCAGCCAAAGUGUGUGUGGCCACGGCUCAGAAUUUGCAUCAGUAACAGCACCAGCAGCCCCUGCGGUGGCAAGGGAGAUCAUUUAUCCAGUGCUUGGCCACGACAGGAAGAGAAGCUGCCAACACCAGAUGACCAACUCCUUUCCAGUUACAGACCACCCCGGUGAUGAGACCUCCAUAUGUUGUCUGAUGGCCGCAGUUCCUCGGCAAAUGGGUGGGGAAAAGGAAAAAGAGAAUAAUGAGAUGAUGAUGCAGAGCACUGGCAGAAUGCCUAGCAUAGAAGAAUCUGAGGAUUCGCCGUGCAUGCUUCCUGGAAUGGAAACCCACACUGCUGUUGUGAAGAAACCUGAUGAAACUCCAGCAACUUCUACAUCUGGCCUGCUGCUUAGUCCUGGGACCUGAGGUCAAAAUCAUAGAAAAGAGCCAUGUGAGAUGCGUUCCUUGGCCUCAUCUCUGUUCUUGAAUACUGUCAGCAACACUCCUCAAGUUUUUGCCCACAUGUUAACACUUUCCUCAGCAUGGAUAUGGAGGUGGGGGUGAGGAAUGUUCUAUUUUUCCUUCGAUGGUUAUGCCCUCACCCUACCAACUCAGUAAAAGGGGAGUAGUGGUCAGGGACCUUACUGAGAAUGUGUCCUAGCAUCUUUUCUCCCCCAGCACAGCCUCCAUAUGACCCAGCUGCCAUGAGAAGCUCGCUUCGCUUCUAAGGGAAUUACCCCUACCUUCCACUCCGUCCUCACCUUGCCCUGCCCAGAUUAGAGGCACAGAGGCAUGUACCACAGGCCUGAAAAACCGUCCAGCCAAAAAGCCUGACUGUCUUGAUGAGUCCUAUCAGGGUGUAGUUAUGGACAUGCCUAUUUCUGCUCUUCCCUCGGCAUUAGUUCUCUGCAAAGGGUGGCUCUUGCCCUCGGAUGGUCCAAAGAUAGUUUGGGGUGUGCAUGGAUGACCUUCACUCUUUAGAGGCGAACAGACAGUACUGCUCUUCUCCAACAGCCUCUGAAGGACACCACCUACUGCCUGUUUCUGAGAUAUUUGCUGCUCCAGAGUCUCCCACCUGCUUCUUCCUCCCUCUCAGUCCUCCCUUUUGUAGACUCUCAGCCUCCCUUCUCUUAAUACUCUUUGCACCCUUUCCUGGGUCUCUAUUUACCCUGCCUUCCCUUUCAGCAACCCCUUCCCAAACCACUGCCAACUUCUCCUUUCUUUCCAAUCCCUCCUCCCUUCCCAGCACUUUCACCUUCCAUUGAAUCCCUCAAGCCUCAUUCUGGCCCAACUCCUCCCCUCACCCUCUAUCCCUGCCCUUCUCAGAUCUGCCAAACACCUCAGGCCUGGCUGCCUCUGUCCUGUUCCCACCAAACCUCCUGACCAUGCUUCUGUGCUCCUUGGGACCUGGGCUCACAUUUUCAAUCUCUUCUCUCCUAUUAGUACAGUUCUGUCUAGAGCCAUGAUUCUUCUCUACCUUUCACAGCUGUCAUCUUUCCCACUUAUAUGCGUUUAUUUUUUUAAGUAUGAAAAUAAAAAAGUGCCACUUAAAUACAAUGAUUAAGUCAUAA
Molecule: long non-coding RNA, 1795 nt
Organism: Rhinopithecus roxellana (golden snub-nosed monkey)
Lineage: Eukaryota; Metazoa; Chordata; Mammalia; Primates; Cercopithecidae
Exons: 5
Source: RefSeq, a predicted model, not a curated record